This 534-nucleotide ribosomal RNA is filed under the name uncultured eukaryote. RNAcentral describes it as "bacterial SSU rRNA". It matches the Rfam family "Eukaryotic small subunit ribosomal RNA", at positions 79 to 592 of the family's 1831-position model. The record is from RNAcentral.
GACGGAAACUGCGAACGGCUCAUUAAAUCAGUUGCGAUCUACUCGGCGUUCCGCGCCGCCGGAUAACCGUAGUAAUUCUAGGGCUAAUACGUGCGAAGCGCCCGAAGCCGCGAGGCGACGGGCGUUCUCGCCGGAUGUAGGAACCGACCCGGGGACCGCCGGGGCAACCCCGGCGCCCCCGAGACGGGGCGAACCACGGUGAAAUGACGGAUCGUCGGCCCCGCGCCGGCGACUCGCCGAAUGAGUUUCUGACCUAUCAACUCGAGACGGCGGGGUAGAGGCCCGCCGCGGUAACGACGGGUAACGGGGAAUCAGGGUUCGAUUCCGGAGAGGGAGCCCGAGAAACGGCUACCACUUCCAAGGAAGGCAGCAGGCGCGCAACUUACCCUAAUCUCGAUUCGAGGAGGUAGUGACAAGAAAUACCGAUGCGGGACCCUACGGGUGCCGCGUUCGGAAUGAGUACGAUUCGAACCACCUAACGAGGAACGAUCGGAGGGCAAGUCUGGUGCCAGCAGCCGCGGUAAUUCCAGCUCC